GCUUAACACAUGCAAGUCGAGGGGCAUCAGGAAGAAAGCUUGCUUUCUUUGCUGGCGACCGGCGCACGGGUGAGUAACACGUAUCCAACCUGCCCUUUACUCGGGGAUAGCCUUUCGAAAGAAAGAUUAAUACCCGAUAGCAUAAUGAUUCCGCAUGGUUUCAUUAUUAAAGGAUUCCGGUAAAGGAUGGGGAUGCGUUCCAUUAGGUUGUUGGUGAGGUAACGGCCCACCAAGCCUUCGAUGGAUAGGGGUUCUGAGAGGAAGGUCCCCCACAUUGGAACUGAGACACGGUCCAAACUCCUACGGGAGGCAGCAGUGAGGAAUAUUGGUCAAUGGGCGCUAGCCUGAACCAGCCAAGUAGCGUGAAGGAUGAAGGCUCUAUGGGUCGUAAACUUCUUUUAUAUAAGAAUAAAGUGCAGUAUGUAUACUGUUUUGUAUGUAUUAUAUGAAUAAGGAUCGGCUAACUCCGUGCCAGCAGCCGCGGUAAUACGGAGGAUCCGAGCGUUAUCCGGAUUUAUUGGGUUUAAAGGGAGCGUAGGUGGACUGGUAAGUCAGUUGUGAAAGUUUGCGGCUCAACCGUAAAAUUGCAGUUGAUACUGUCAGUCUUGAGUACAGUAGAGGUGGGCGGAAUUCGUGGUGUAGCGGUGAAAUGCUUAGAUAUCACGAAGAACUCCGAUUGCGAAGGCAGCUCACUGGACUGCAACUGACACUGAUGCUCGAAAGUGUGGGUAUCAAACAGGAUUAGAUACCCUGGUAGUCCACACAGUAAACGAUGAAUACUCGCUGUUUGCGAUAUACAGUAAGCGGCCAAGCGAAAGCAUUAAGUAUUCCACCUGGGGAGUACGCCGGCAACGGUGAAACUCAAAGGAAUUGACGGGGGCCCGCACAAGCGGGGGAACAUGUGGUUUAAUUCGAUGAUACGCGAGGAACCUUACCCGGGCUUAAAUUGCAGUGGAAUGAUGUGGAAACAUGUCAGUGAGCAAUCACCGCUGUGAAGGUGCUGCAUGGUUGUCGUCAGCUCGUGCCGUGAGGUGUCGGCUUAAGUGCCAUAACGAGCGCAACCCUUAUCUUUAGUUACUAACAGGUUAUGCUGAGGACUCUAGAGAGACUGCCGUCGUAAGAUGUGAGGAAGGUGGGGAUGACGUCAAAUCAGCACGGCCCUUACGUCCGGGGCUACACACGUGUUACAAUGGGGGGUACAGAAGGCAGCUAGCGGGUGACCGUAUGCUAAUCCCAAAAUCCUCUCUCAGUUCGGAUCGAAGUCUGCAACCCGACUUCGUGAAGCUGGAUUCGCUAGUAAUCGCGCAUCAGCCACGGCGCGGUGAAUACGUUCCCGGGCCUUGUACACACCGCCCGUCAAGCCAUGGGAGCCGGGGGUACCUGAAGUACGUAACCGCAAGGAUCGUCCUAGGGUAAAACUGGUGACUGGGGCUAAGUC
Molecule: ribosomal RNA, 1438 nt
Filed under: uncultured organism
Description: 16S ribosomal RNA
Rfam family: Bacterial small subunit ribosomal RNA
Source: RNAcentral